Transfer RNA from Beta vulgaris subsp. vulgaris (sugar beet), 74 nucleotides. It matches the Rfam family "tRNA". Rfam says of the family: Transfer RNA (tRNA) molecules are approximately 80 nucleotides in length. The record is from Rfam. NCBI's taxonomy places the organism in Eukaryota, Viridiplantae, Streptophyta, Magnoliopsida, Caryophyllales, Amaranthaceae.
GGCCUAUUAGCUCAGUUGGUUAGAGCGUGGUGCUAAUAACGCCAAGGUCGCAGGUUCGAGCCCUGCAUAGGCCA